AUUGAACGCUGGCGGCAUGCCUUACACAUGCAAGUCGAACGGCAGCACGGGAGCAAUCCUGGUGGCGAGUGGCGAACGGGUGAGUAAUACAUCGGAACGUGCCCAGUUGUGGGGGAUAGCCCGGCGAAAGCCGGAUUAAUACCGCAUAAGACCUGAGGGUGAAAGCGGGGGAUCGCAAGACCUCGCGCGAUUGGAGCGGCCGAUGUCAGAUUAGCUAGUUGGUGGGGUAAAGGCUCACCAAGGCGACGAUCUGUAGCUGGUCUGAGAGGACGACCAGCCACACUGGGACUGAGACACGGCCCAGACUCCUACGGGAGGCUG
RNAcentral lists this ribosomal RNA (321 nucleotides) under uncultured Pseudomonadota bacterium. RNAcentral describes it as "bacterial SSU rRNA". It matches the Rfam family "Bacterial small subunit ribosomal RNA", at positions 29 to 351 of the family's 1533-position model. Lineage: Bacteria; Pseudomonadati; Pseudomonadota. The record is from RNAcentral.